Molecule: ribosomal RNA, 757 nt
Filed under: uncultured Glomus
Lineage: Eukaryota; Fungi; Glomeromycota; Glomeromycetes; Glomerales; Glomeraceae
Description: SSU rRNA
Rfam family: Eukaryotic small subunit ribosomal RNA
Source: RNAcentral
GGCCUACCAUGGUGGUAACGGGUAACGGGGUGUUAGGGCACGACACCGGAGAGGGAGCCUGAGAAACGGCUACCACAUCCAAGGAUGGCAGCAGGCGCGCAAAUUACCCAAUCCCGACACGGGGAGGUAGUGACAAUAAAUAACAAUACGGGGUUCUUUAGGAUCUCGUAAUUGGAAUGAGUACAAUUUAAAUCUCUUAACGAGGAACAAUUGGAGGGCAAGUCUGGUGCCAGCAGCCGCGGUAAUUCCAGCUCCAAUAGCGUAUAUUAAAGUUGUUGCAGUUAAAAAGCUCGUAGUUGAAUUUCGGGAUCAUCAGGUUGGUCGUGCCACUGGUAUGUACUUGCCUCGGUGGUCCCUCCCUCUUGAAGAACCGUAAUGCCAUUAAUUUGGUGUUGCGGGGAAUCAGGACUGUUACUUUGAAAAAAUUAGAGUGUUUAAAGCAGGCAAACGCUUGAAUACAUUAGCAUGGAAUAAUGAAAUAGGACGUUUGAUCUUAUUUUGUUGGUUUCUAGGAUCGACGUAAUGAUUAAUAGGGAUAGUUGGGGGCAUUAGUAUUCAAUUGUCAGAGGUGAAAUUCUUGGAUUUAUUGAAGACUGACUACUGCGAAAGCAUUUGCCAAGGAUGUUUUCAUUAAUCAAGAACGAAAGUUAGGGGAUCGAAAGACGAUCAGAUACCGUCGUAGUCUUAACCAUAAACUAUGGCCGACUAGGGAUCGGAUGAUGUUAAUUUUUUUAAUGACUCAUUUCGGCGCCUUACG